UACGAAGGGUGCAAGCGUUACUCGGAAUUACUGGGCGUAAAGCGUGCGUAGGUGGUUUGUUAAGUCUGUUGUGAAAGCCCCGGGCUCAACCUGGGAAUGGCAAUGGAUACUGGCAAGCUAGAGUGCGGUAGAGGGUAGUGGAAUUCCCGGUGUAGCGGUGAAAUGCGUAGAGAUCAGGAAGAACACCCGUGGCGAAGGCGGCUCUCUGGAACGCAACUGACGCUGAGACGCGAAAGCGUGGGGAGCAAACAGG
This 253-nucleotide ribosomal RNA is filed under the name uncultured bacterium. RNAcentral describes it as "partial 16S ribosomal RNA". It matches the Rfam family "Bacterial small subunit ribosomal RNA", at positions 524 to 776 of the family's 1533-position model. The record is from RNAcentral.